GCGUUGUUCGGAAUUACUGGGCGUAAAGAGUGCGUAGGCGGUUGACUAANUUUGGUGUGAAAUCUCCCGGCUUAACUGGGAGGGUGCGCCGAAAACUGGCCAGCUAGAGUGUGGGAGAGGAUAGUGGAAUUCCUGGUGUAGCGGUGAAAUGCGUANAUAUCACCGAGGAACACCUGCGGUGUAUGACGGCUAUCUGGACCAUGACUGACGCUGAGGCACGAAAGCGUGGGUAGCAAACAGGAUUAGAUACCCUGGUAGUCCACGCCCUAAACGAUGCAAACUUGGUGUGCGCCCUUCAUUGGGUGCGUGCCGCAGCUAACGCGUUAAUUUUGCCGCCUGGGGAGUACGGKCGCAAGGCUG
Molecule: ribosomal RNA, 360 nt
Filed under: uncultured bacterium
Lineage: Bacteria
Description: bacterial SSU rRNA
Rfam family: Bacterial small subunit ribosomal RNA
Source: RNAcentral